UACGGGGGGGGCAAGCGUUGUUCGGAAUUACUGGGCGUAAAGGGCUCGUAGGCGGCCAACUAAGUCAGACGUGAAAUCCCUCGGCUUAACCGGGGAACUGCGUCUGAUACUGGAUGGCUUGAGUUUGGGAGAGGGAUGUAGAAUUCCAGGUGUAGCGGUGAAAUGCGUAGAUAUCUGGAGGAAUACCGGUGGCGAAGGCGGCAUCCUGGACCAAUACUGACGCUGAGGCGCGAAAGCUAGGGGAGCAAACGGG
Molecule: ribosomal RNA, 253 nt
Filed under: uncultured bacterium
Lineage: Bacteria
Description: partial 16S ribosomal RNA
Rfam family: Bacterial small subunit ribosomal RNA
Source: RNAcentral